GCGGCAAAUGUAUCAUUGGUGAUGAUGAUUUCUGUAGUAGUGUAGGCUCUUUAUCAUCAGUUGAGUGAGCUCUCCAAAUCCAUGUUUUAUGAAAGAUAAACAUGUCAUCCAUGCGGCAUGCAAUCUACUUUGAUGCAUCUAUGGCCAUUCCUAAUGUCUAUAUCAAUGAUAAGGAUGACAAUAAGACUGUGUACAAGUCAAACCAUGUAUAUCCCAGUGGCUAGCUAAAGACCUGCAUGUUCCUAGCUACUUGCCAUCACCCACUCUAGGCA
Molecule: long non-coding RNA, 272 nt
Filed under: Sorghum bicolor (sorghum)
Lineage: Eukaryota; Viridiplantae; Streptophyta; Magnoliopsida; Poales; Poaceae
Description: long non-coding RNA (SBIC_LNC004243)
Source: RNAcentral